CCGGUUUGUAAUUGAAAAACGAGAAAUUUUGAAACAAUUACGUUUUUUUGUCUACAUUUACUGCUGUUUGAGGAUGCUUCUGUCGAGUUAUGACAGGACAGUAUCCAUGCUCCCUGUCCGACACCCUCCCAUGUUGCAGUUAACAUUUUCCUGCCAGUCUUCUUCCCCCAUCAUGCCCAACUGACUGGUCCAAUAUUGUUCAAAACUAUAUGGAAAUGCCUCGUCAUCGUAGUUUGGAGUAUGUGCAGAGCACUCAGAAUAACAAGCAGUUUAUUUGCUUGAUGAGACUGAUUUGCCGGGGAAGGGAACAGACACUGCUGUGAGCAUGAUGAUCACUACUUCAAGUACCAUGGUUUGGAGAAGAAAAGCCGAAAUUGGCACUUUGGUCUUUGGAAAAGCAGGUAGAUAAUAAAUUUUGCACAUUUAUCCCUAUAGUAGAGUACUUUAAUUUUGAAAAUACUUACCUAACAGAAUUGAGCCCUAGAUUUUCAAGAGUAUUCACUUAAGAUGUUAGCCUUUUAAUUGUUAUCUGUUACAUGUCAAAAAAAUAACCUUGACCAUAACUCAAUAACUGUUGAAAUUGAUAAAAUGCAACUUUGCAUACCUAUUGCCAGAGGACGAAUGUAUAUGUGAACUUUCAUAAGUAUGUUAUUUCUAUAUUACAUUUCAAAUUUUCAACAAUGAUCAACAAAAAUAAAUGCUGUUUUAACUAGUCAAGAAACUCCUCACUUUG
This is a long non-coding RNA of Mya arenaria, 733 nucleotides long. RefSeq lists it as uncharacterized. Lineage: Eukaryota; Metazoa; Mollusca; Bivalvia; Myida; Myidae. The record is from RefSeq and is a predicted model, not a curated record. The transcript is spliced from 3 exons.